Bos taurus (domestic cattle) is the source of this 72-nucleotide non-coding RNA. The record is from Rfam. NCBI's taxonomy places the organism in Eukaryota, Metazoa, Chordata, Mammalia, Artiodactyla, Bovidae.
UCCCCGGUGGCUCAGAUGGUAAAGAAUCCACCUGGAAUGUAGGAGACCCAGGUUCAAUUCCUGGGUUGGGAA